RNAcentral lists this ribosomal RNA (797 nucleotides) under Bembidion (Notaphus) sp. MSL2007. RNAcentral describes it as "partial 16S ribosomal RNA". The stretch from base 1 to 579 matches the Rfam family "Bacterial large subunit ribosomal RNA", at positions 1829 to 2925 of the family's 2925-position model. Lineage: Eukaryota; Metazoa; Arthropoda; Insecta; Coleoptera; Carabidae. The record is from RNAcentral.
GUCUUUUUGGUUUAUAUAUAAAGUCUAGCCUGCCCACUGAAUUUUAAAUGGCCGCAGUAAUUUGACUGUGCAAAGGUAGCAUAAUCAUUAGUUUUUUAAUUAAAAGCUUGUAUGAAAGGUUGGACGAGGUAAAUACUGUCUCUAUUUAAUUUAUUUUAAAAUUUAAUUUUUAAGUUAAAAAGCUUAAAUUUUUGUAAAAGACGAGAAGACCCUAUAGAUCUUUAUAAUUUUUAUAUUAAAAUAAAUUUAGAUAUAUUUAUAUUUUAUUAUAAUAAUUAUUUUAUUGGGGUAAUAAAAAGAUUUAAUAAAUUCUUUUUUUUUAUUUAUAUUAAUUUAUAUUUUAUUGAUCCAUUAUUAAUGAUUAUAAGAUUAAGUUACCUUAGGGAUAACAGCGUAAUUUUUUUGGAGAGUUCAUAUCGAUAAAAAAGUUUGCGACCUCGAUGUUGGAUUAAAGAUUAAUUUAGGUGCAGAAGUUUAAAUUUUUGGUCUGUUCGACCAUUAAAUCUUUACAUGAUCUGAGUUCAGACCGGCGUAAGCCAGGUCGGUUUCUAUCUUUAUUAAAUUAAAAUAUUUUAGUACGAAAGGACCAAAUAUUUAAUAUAUUUAUAUUUAAUUUUUUGAAUAUUAUUAUUAUUUUGGCAGAUUAGUGCGAUGAAUUUAGAAUUCAUAUAUGUAAAUUUUUACAAAUAAUACUUGUAUUUUUUAGAUUUAUUAUUUUCUAUUGUUUGUAGUUUUUUAUUAAUUAUUUGUGUAUUAGUUGGUGUUGCAUUUCUAACUUUAUUAGAACGAAAAGUAUU